RNAcentral lists this long non-coding RNA (14052 nucleotides) under Daucus carota (carrot). RNAcentral's name for it is "long non-coding RNA (DCAR_LNC004325)". Lineage: Eukaryota; Viridiplantae; Streptophyta; Magnoliopsida; Apiales; Apiaceae. The record is from RNAcentral.
CGCUACAUUUCGUCGAUCAGUUUUUGGUUUAGGGAAUGAUAGAAUUCAUUCCUUGGAAUCGAAUCGUAGUCCACUUGUCCAAAACACUGAGUUUGAGUCAUUUCAGAAUAAAGUCUAUAAGAGAUUUCAUGAUCUCUCGAUUGCCAACUGCCAAGGCUGAUGAGUUUCUUUCACUUACAUGGAUAAGUAAGUUACUUGAUACCUUGAUUGAUUUCCAAGAGGAAUUUAGGGUCCUAUUAUGUAAGUAUAAGGUUGAUAUGUCGAAACCGCCUUUAGACAAGAUGAUUCUGAUUACUUUGAGAGGAGCAUCAAGGUGCUUGACAUAUGUAAUGCAACUAGAGAUGGGGUUGAUAUGAUUAGGCUUUGGAACAAGCAUUUGGAUAUGGUUCUAAGUGCUUUUGGUUCUCGACAAAGGAUCAUUGGUGAAGGCACGUUUCGUCGAGCAAGAAAAGCUUUGACAGAGUUAGCACUCGUGAUGCUUGAUGAUAAGGGCUACGGGAGUGUUGUCUCACACAUGAAUAAGGUCUUUUGGGUGGCAUAAUAAGGGGAAAGAACAGCACUAUCGUUUACAAGGACACUCAAGGUCUCUGUCUUGGAGUGUAUCACAUUCGUGGUCAGCAACAAAGCAGCUUCAAUCCAUUGCAAACACAGUAGUUCCACCGCGUGCUCAUGAGAUCACAGAAACUAAAGGGCUUGCAGUUCCCAUCUUCACAAUGAGUUUUGUGCACAUGUUUGUACUGUGGGCUCUGGUUGCUGCUAUUCCUUGUCAAGAUCGCAGCCUUCAAAUUCAUUUCUCUAUUCCAAGGCAGUUUUCAUGGUCAACUCCUUUUUACUUGAUUCAUGUCAGGAUCAUGGAUGAAUCUAAGAAGAGAGAUCACAGAAGCUCCAUUGGGUUACUUCAGGAGAUAUAUCAGCUAGAAAGUAGUGUUAGACGCAUCACAGAUAUUGUAGAUUCUGCCCACUUUCCUAUGACAGAGCAACAAAAGGAAGAAUCGAAGUCUGCGGUUAAGGAGAUAACUUUGGUAUGUGAAGCUUGUAAAGAUGGAAUGGAUCCCCUUGAACGACAAAUAAGGGAAGUGUUUCGCAGAAUUAUGAGUUUCCGGAUUGAGGGUCUUGCAAUACUAGGGAGGGAAGACUAGCCUUGUUAAUUCAGACCACCACUAAUGAACAGCAAAAAAAAAGAAGAAUAUCGGACGAAUCUGGGAAUUAGUGUUUUGACCAGCCUCGCUCAGAAAAUGUUCUCCCUAUUGUUAUUUAGCAGGUACUUUCUUUAUUUACAAGCAUACCUCACAUAAUGUAAAGAAUAUACGAGUGUUUAUAUUGGACCAUCCUAAACUGGGUGUUAUCCAAAUUAAUUGAUUGGUUUCUUCUUGUUUAUUUCUCUUUCGCAAGGUUUGAUUGAAGGAGCAAGUUUGUGUAUAUGAGAAGAUUCUUUUAAAGGAUAUACGCACACACACCAUUGCUUAUCUGUUUUUAUUGUAUAUCAUCUUGGCCUUCCAUUGAUGAUGAUUAUGAAUAUGAGAAGUUGAUUUGAGUUUGUUUUAAUCUUUUGGUGCGCACUGCACAAUGCACUGCACUAUGGUAGAUGUUUUGAACGGCGAUUGAGAUGAUUCAUUGACAAAAGUAAGAGUUUGUCGGAUGUGGGAGUAGACUGUUAUCUCAUGAAUUUAAAUUGAUGUUUUUGCGGACAACCAAUUCAAAGAAUUUGGAGGAAGGAGUCACUAAUAUACACCUGCAUGGAUUGGAAUUAAUAUGUCCCGACAUGAUUAAUGUUCGUAUAACUAGAACAUAAUGUUUAUCCCUAUUAAAACUGGGGAUGUUUUCGGAUUUGCAUAUCAAUAUCUUGUUGAUUUUUACGUACUUAUGUUUUUGCAAACUUAUUGUCCGUUUUAUUGGUCAAUCAAUGUAUAUGGCUAGAUGUCAUCAAUCAGUUCUGUUAAAGAGCUGUAUGCUUUUUACAUGUAGGGCAUGGUGUAUAUGUUUAAGAAGUAGUGUUUGAAAAUUAAUGACAAUGUUCUUGAAAAACAUGCUUACUUUAAAAAAAAAAAACACAACUAAAAGUAAGGUUCGUCAUGCCUUCGAUCGUUGAUUAUAUGUAGAAAUUCAUUUUUAUUUUUCACUCAUGAAUUAAAGUCCAAUUUUGUAAUUUCAUAUAUUAAUAUUGGUAUUGUAUCGAGAUGUUUAUAAUAUAAAAUUUAUUUUACUCUGCAAAUACUAAUUUUGAGUCAUUAAUAUAAUUUUUAUACGCCGCCGCAACGCGCGGCUUCUCAACUAGUAUAGAACUUAUAGUGAAUUAUUAUAUUGAUAAUGUGACAAUUCUGAUAUUAUUUUUUCUACUUUCUUUUUAUUUAUAUUUUAUUUUAUCUGAUAAAAAAGUUGGAUAUUGAGUUGCAGAGAAGUGAAUAUAAUUAGAGGGAAGUGAAUAUUAUAUUUAUUAAUAAUUUAAAGAAUAACUAGAUACUUUUUUUAACUAAGACACUUUUAGAUGAGAGGAAACUCUUGAAUUUUCAAAAAGCUGUUAUAAAUAUAUUAGAGCACUAUUUUUUCACAUCUCUUUAAAUUUAAAAUUAAGGAUUUUUGUAUAACUCAUCGACAAUGCUCUUAGUUUAUUCAUUGCUAGAUUAUAAAUUACCUACUGUACUUUUUAUGAAAUGGUUGAGACAUAUUUUCACAACAGGUUAAAUCUUGAAUUUUUUUCAAAAUUUUGGUCAAGUUUUUAGUUUGUGAAUUUAAAAAUAAGUCAAAAUAUACUAUUCUAAAUGUAACGAUUUGAAUAAUACACAAGCCCAUUGUAUGCCUCCAAAAAAUCACCAUUUAUUUAUUGGUGUAUUGUGCAAUUGAUAAUGAAUUAAUUCAUAUUAAUAAAUCAAAAGAAUGUCUCUAUUUUGUAAACGUGAGACUGAAAUGUUAUAUAAACACUUAACUCCUUAAAGUUAGAACUUAUUUAUAGGAAUAUAUUUACGAAUCAGUACUGAAAAGCAUGUGUCCAUCAUUCCGGCCAAAGAUGAAAUAAAGAGACCAUGAGAUUUAAAUUAAGGAGCCGUGCAAAAAUUUUACUUGUUUUCUUAUCAUAUAAACAAUCUGAUUUGUCUUAUAUGACGACUAACAGUUUCAAUAUACAACGUAAUAAUGCAGCAAAUUGCUAUGACCAAUGUUCCAGAAUUCGCUAGGCGUCCCUGGACGGUCGGGGUACCUUCGAGUGAUUAAUCGGGAAAUCGGGGAUUAAUCGGAAGGAUUAAUCGGAGCAUUUAAUUGGACAUAUAUUAUUUUUAAAUUAUUAUAAUUAAAUGUAAUUUAAUAAUUUUAUCUAUUUUUCACUACUGGUAGAGUCAAACUGGUAAAUAAUAUAAUAUCACAUAUAAAAUAAAUACUUGAUACAUGUAAUACAAAAUCGUUGAUUAGAUAAAUAUAUAUCAAUCAUUCUCUUAUAAAUAAUUUAAGAAAUAUUAAAUAAAAAUAUUAGUCAUUUUAAUUUUUUUAUAAGAUAUUAAGUUAAUUACAAGUGAAUACUUAAUUUCUUACAAUAUAAUCAUAAUUUUAGAUUUUAUUUAUUAAAAAUAUGAUUUUUUUUGUUAUUAGCCGCCUGGACCGCCUAGGCGGGAUGUUGACCGCCUAGGACCGAUUUUUGUAAAAAAAUGUCUAAUUCACCGCCUAGGACCGAAUCAGGGCGUUUCGGGGCCGCCUAGCGUCUAGGCACCGUCUAGACCAAUUUUUAGAACACUAGUUAUGACCGAGUAGUAUAAUAUGGUGAGCUAUCACAUAACUUUCAUCUGGCGGGAAAAACGACGUUAAACAUAGAAAAUUCUAAUAUGAAAUAAUUUAUAAUGAUAUUGUAACACUUUAAAUAUACGUCAAAAACAUAAUUAUUGUAUUAUUUUUUUCAACUGUAUGUAUGCUACUAAUGUUAGAGAACCAUACCACUUGUAUAUAGUGGUGUACAAAACAGAAAUUGCAAAAUAAGUAUACACGAGCCUUUCACUUCCUUUCCCCAAAAAAAAAUUUUACAACCCAAACCGGCCAAACACUGCCCUAAUUCGAGGAUAAUAAAAAACAGCAACUGUUUAUAUCGGCAACUUUCGUUAAAGCGUUGUUUGUCAGAGACUUUGGUGCGUGUAUACAUACAAUCUCUAUCUCCAUCUGUAUCGCAUAUACGACUGCACAGUGCCCCCAACUCACAAUCUCAAAAAGUCAACACCAUGUUAGUCGUUGGUUGCUUUCUAGCCAGGUUUUGAUGAUGUAGUGGGUAUUAUUCUAUUUCUUAUUAUGUUCAAGAUUCAAGCUUUUUGAUGUUUUUAUGUUCAAUAUGAGUCUUUCAGAUCUUGGUAUGUGAGUUCUUUGGGGGUUUUGUUCUUAAUAAUGGUAUAAUUUCAGUGGUUUUGAUUUUUGGUUCACUGGCUCUCAAGAAAAAAAGUAAAAAAAAUUCUUAUUUUUUAAUUUUAAUUUAUGCUUCUGUUUUUUGCAAGACAUGGUUAGGUUUUUGCCAGUUUUACUUUGUGAUUUAAUUGAUGUUUGAAGGUAGAUAUGCUUGUUGAUUGUGAAUUUUUGGGCUGAUUUUGAAUGGGUCAAUUUUGACUUUUUCAAGUAAUUUGUAUAGUCUGUAUAUAUUUUCUAUCUGAUUUCUGAACUUGAGUUGAUGGAUGCAGAUCUUAAUGUUGCUGUAGGGAUUUGAAAAAAUUGUGUAGUAAGCAGCUUAGAUUCCUCAUCCUUUGGGCCUUUCCUGAUAGCUAUAUGUUUAAUUUUACACUUUGAUAUGCUUGUAAACAUACAAUCUGGUCAUGUUAAGAUUUCUGUUGUGAACUGAGAAUCAGGUACAUAUAUGAUAUAUGUAUGUUUUAUUGAAUUGCAUCUUGAAGAGUUGAAAUAUAAUGUACAAAUGAAACCAAGCCUGCAUUUGAUUUGUUAUUUGUUUCGGUGUAUUGUUGUAUGAGUGUACUGAAUCAAAUAUUUGUUCACAAGAUUAGGCUAAAAUCAACAACCUUAGCCUUUUUUAGUGGAACUGUAAGAGUUAUUAGACCUUGAUAAAUAUCAGAAAGAUGCAAGUAAAAAAUUUCUCAAUUUAGUCUAGUUUAGAGUCACUAUGAAUGUGUCUUUAUCUACUCAUCUUCUUUUCUUUUCUUUUUUCCUUUAGAUGCCCUUUUGAUUUCUCCCUUCUCUUUAUCUGAGAAUAUAAGUCUUUGCCUCAUAAAUCUAAUUGACCUUUCAUAUUUUAUUGCAGCUUUAUUCACAUGUGAAGUGUAAUAAAAUUAUAGAAAUAGAGUGAAAGUAGUUGUGACUAGAGUUCUGAAAGUGAGUUUCAAUUGCCACCAGUUAGAUUUGGAGAUAAAUGUCAUUCCGCAGUAUAGUUCGUGAUGUGCGAGAUAGUAUCGGGAGCUUAUCCAGGCGAAGUUUUGAUGUAAGGGUUUCAUGUCAUCACAGAGGAAAAUCACAUGGUUCAUUUAAUGACCUCGAUGAUCACCCUGUCAUAGUACAGAACAGUCGCUGGGCUAAUCUUCCUCCUGAGCUACUUUAUGAUGUCAUUAAAAGGCUAGAGGAGAGUGAAAGUACAUGGCCAGGUCGAAAGCAUGUUGUUGCAUGCGCUGCUGUUUGCAAAUCAUGGAGGAGUAUGUGCAAGGAUAUUGUUAGAAACCCAGAGUUCUGUGGGAAGCUGACAUUUCCAGUUUCUCUGAAACAGGUAGCUUUUUAUGUCUUUGUUUAUGCUUAUUGCUUACUAAUACACGAUACUACACACUGUUCCUUAUAAAUGACUUACGUUUUGUCUUGGAGUGUGAUGUUCUUCUGUUUGACUAUUUCCGACGUAGUAGUUCUUUGCGACAAAUGUUAUGGUAUGACGACAACGCUAAACCACAUUUAUUGUCUUUUCAGCCAGGAUCUCGUGAUGGGGCUAUUCAGUGCUUUAUAAAGCGGGAUAAGUCUAAUUUGACUUACCACCUUUUUCUCUGUCUUAGCCCUGGUGAGUGAUCUCUUCCAGUCUUAAAGAAGAUAAAUCUUUGUGCUUUAAUGUUCUUGUGAUGCACAUAUCUUAAAUGUUUCUCUCAACAGAGGGAUAUAGAAAGGCUACUGAGAAUUGUUGUCUAGAGUACCAUCGUAAUCUGAUGAUAUCACUAAGAUUGUCAGUAUUGGUUAUAAAUCUGUUAAUCUUUUUGUUGUCAAGGAAAGAGAUAAAUUUAUUAUCAGCACUCCAAUUAUUUGCGGGAUUGCAUUUAUUGCUUGGCUUAUUGGGAACAAAAUGAUAUACAGGCUGCCCUAGUCUAGUCUGUUUGGAUGAAUAAAUUUGUCAGAAGUGGUAAUAAAUCUGCUAUGUUUUUUGUCGUGACUCGUGAGUGAACGAAGCAAAUGCGAGCUAUUAUCAGGACUAUAGUUUCCUAUGGUUGUGUUAUAUCGACUUAUCAAGAGCAAGAUAAUUUUCCCGAAUAGGAUUAUCUUUGUGUUCAGGGUGCAGCACAUAUAAAUUCUUUGAUUACUAUAGUGAAUAUGGAAUUUUUGCAGCGAGUAAUCAUGUGGUUGAACCGGUCAUGUGUGCAGGAAACAGAAGCCCUCUUCUGUUAGAAUAGUUAUUGUGUUUUAUGAGUUUUUGAUAUCACACAUAUAUAAAUCUUAGAUUGAAUGUCUCGCUGGUUUUGAGUGUACUGGACCUUGUUGAUGAAGAGUCCCAUACCUUUUCACUUUCUUCUGAGAUUUGUUAUAAUGCUCAUCUUGUCCAGCUUUUUAAUGCCUUUUGUAUUUCACAUAUACUUUGUCAUGAUUCUCUUUUUAUGCCCUUGUUAGUAAGGUGGUAUGUUUGUGCUUAUAUUAAGUUGUACACACACACACACACGUAUAUGUAUAUAAAUAUAAUAUUCUGUAGGUGUUGAUAUGCUUUUGGGACUUUUCCUUACUGUAGCUUUGCUAGUUGAAAAUGGAAAGUUUCUUCUGUCUGCAAAAAGAACGCGACGAACAACUUGCACAGAAUAUGUGAUCUCUAUGAAUGCAGAAAAUAUUUCAAGGUCCAGCAGCACCUACAUUGGAAAGCUAAGGUAACAAGAUAGAGCUGUGACGUAGAUUAAGAUUUUGAUCUCUCUUUGGCUUAAAUCUCUGAAUUUUUAAUUGGUUUAUUUGAAGUUAUACCAAAAACACAUUGGUGGACUUUAAGCUUAAAUUGGUCACUUUGGAGUGAGUUGAGUUAUAUAAAUAAUGCCCUUGUUGUACCCUGUGAGCUCAGAAUAAGAGCUGCAGCUGCAGGCUUUUGUUUAACUUGGGGAUUAAGAAUGUAUAAAGAACUACUAUUGGUUAAAAAGCAUGUGCUGUAUAUAUGGCUUACAUAAACAGCUGACGUGAUAGGAUCAAGAUAAUUGCACAUAAAUUGCCUUAUCUUGCCUUUUCAUAUCUAAUCGAUACAUAGUAGGAAAAGUCAUUUGUCAUUUGUCAAGCAGAUAUUUGCCUUGCAAUGUAGUUUUACACUUUCAUUAGUUUUCUAAGGUAAAUCAAAGACCCUUGAUGAUGAGCUUACUAGGUGAGUAGUUGUAAUACUUGGUGGGAGUCUAGUCUUUGUGUAAUAUUUUUUCUAGGACGUUAUGCUGCUCUCAUAAUUAAAAAUAUGAUUAGUUGGGUUCACCGCUGAUAAUAUUAAUUGCUAUGCAUUUCUUUUAGUACGAGUCAUCAAUUAAAUUCUCAUGCAUGAGGCAACAUAUAUUCUCCAUUAUAGCAAUGUUUGCUUCCUUCUUAGUACCUCUAAAAACGUGCAAAGUUGGUGUUGUCUUUUGAUAAUGCUUAUAUCUACGUAUAUAAUUUAAGAAAUUAUUUUCUAAAUGCAUCAAAUCUUGUAUGACUGAUAUCAUUGCCGUUGUCUGUUUCAGAUCGAAUUUCCUUGGCACAAAAUUUAUUAUAUAUGAUACCCAGCCUCCACACGCUGGUACCCAUGUUCCGCCACCAGGCAGAUCUAGCCGUAGAUUCUAUUCCAAAAAGGUCUCUCCUAAAGUCCCAACAGGCAGCUAUAACAUAGCUCACAUCACAUAUGAGCUUAAUGUCCUUGGCACCCGUGGUCCGAGAAGGAUGCACUGCAUUAUGCACUCAAUCCCCAUCUCAGCCCUUGAGGCAGGUGGCACCGUUCCUGGGCAGCCAGAGCUCCUACCUCGCUCUGUUGAUGACUCAUUCCGAAGCAUUUCCUUCUCAAAGUCUCUUGACCACUCAGUGGAGUUCAGCAGCUCACGCUUUUCUGAAAUUGGUGCUGCUGCUGUUGCUUGCAGUGAAGAUGAGGAAGGGAAAUCAAAACCCUUGAUUCUGAAAAACAAGGCACCGAGAUGGCAUGAACAGUUACAGUGCUGGUGCCUGAAUUUCCGAGGACGAGUUACAGUAGCCUCUGUUAAGAACUUUCAGUUGAUUGCAUCCACACAGCCAACUGUCACGGCUGCACCAACAACUUCCCAGCCAGCGCAACCUGAACAUGAUAAAGUCAUAUUGCAGUUUGGUAAGGUAGGAAAAGAUAUGUUUACUAUGGAUUAUCGCUACCCGUUGUCUGCUUUCCAGGCAUUCGCGAUCUGUUUAAGCAGUUUCGACACCAAAUUGGCUUGUGAAUAAAAGAUUGAAAAAGAAGAUUAUCUUCAACUCUAGAGCUAUAAAAGGAUUGCAUAAAGAGGAAUAGCAUGUCUUCUGUAUUGUUAAUUUCUGUUCAAGUCGUCUCCUUUAGACACCAGAGUAGGAGACUCUUGUUAGUGUCAUGUUUGUUGUAAACUCAACUGUAACAGUAGCCCUAUGCUCUGCUCUUUGGGUGCUUCGACCUUUCUAAUCUCAAUUUUAUCUGUCUCAUCCCCCUCCCUCCCUACCUUUAUAUAUAUGCUGUGGUUCGAAUAAACACCAUUUUAGCGUGAUAAAACAUGAGAGCUAUGUGUUCUGCCAUUUUUUUUUGUUGUGUUCCGCCGAUUUGCUAGAUUUGAUCACGUGAAAUCUCCUAUGUGUAAACUGUGGGCAAGAGGUUGCCAUCUUUGAAGUCUCUUAUUGUCAACUUGGAUGAUAUUUCAUUACUGUAUAGAGAGCAUAAUUAAUCUUUUUCACAGCACAACUAGAUCUAAUCAUUCACCUUCCUAUAUUCAAAAGCAAUUGAAAAAAGUGAAGUUGAUAUGAUAACUUGAGAAAGCAACAAUCUUUUUUCCUCCUACACUGUUAAGGCAUUAAAGGGUGAAAGGGAGAAUCUUGGCUUGUGAAGAGAAAGGGUGAAAGUGAGAAUAUUUUAGCUUGAGAAGAAAGAGAGGUUUGUCUAAUUGUCUUUACUUUUGCAAAAAGCAUGGCACAGGGUGACUGUAAUAUUGCACAUCCAUGUUGUGGAGAUCCAAGGAGAUCUUCAGAUGAUCACAAAAUGAGGCAGAAUAGGUGUAGAGAGCCAUGAAUAUUGAAUAGAAUUGACACUUUCAAACAAUAAUUAUGGGACAUCAACAUCAACUAGAUCAAAGGCCACAUUGUUUGGCCAACAACUUGUGAUGAUAAUAAUGCAAGGAGAAUUUUGCUUGGAAAAGUUUCUGAUGGUAUCUAGUUUUAAGAAUUCGGAUCGAUCAAAGUUCCCAACUCUCUCAAAACCUCGAGUGAUAUUUAUGUGUUAACACAAGCACAAUGAGUUUUUAUAUCAAUGAAGUAAAAAUGGGAUGUAAAACAAAGGUCUGCAUGAACUCCCAGGGAAGAAAAAAGAGUAUUUUUACUGUGAAGAAGCCUUGUAUGUAGGACAAGAGUGCAAGGCAAGAUUGGAUAUGCUGGUAGGAAAAGAAAGAUACCAAUCAAAAACUAGUAACUUCAACUAGGGCCAGUCAUUAAGAACCCAGAAAAGUCUCCAUUAAUGCCUUAUCUACAAGCAAGACACUUUGCACACUUAGACUGGAGGGUUAAGAGUAGUUUUACUCCCAUCAAUACUGCAGAGAAGUGGCACCCUCAGUUGCUACAGUAAGUAAUGCCUUAAAAAUAGGUCAUGAUCCUGAACAAACUUCAAAUAUGUGGUGCAAGCCUGCAAGCAGUGGCGUAUGCAGGAUUUAAGUCCAGAGGGGGCUGGAUUUUAGUCCCACCGGGAAAAAAAUUUUUGGGUACAUAAUAUAUAAUUAAAUUUGACAUAUUAUUGUUACAACUUACAAAUUCACAAUAACACUCUCCUAGGUGCCAUAUUUUGAAACCUCACUAUAAUGUCUUCAACAUCAAUUUAUAUUAAAGUAUAAAAUAUUAGUCUAUUACAAAUGUAAUAUUAAAGUAUAAAUGUAAUAUUAAAGUAUAAUUAAAUUUAACUAUUAGUCUAUUACAAAUGUAAUAUUAAAGUAUAAAAUAAAAUAUAAAACUAAAAUGUUAUUAAAAAAGUUUGAUAAAAAUAUUUUUUAUGUAUUCAUUUGACUUUUUGAAAAUAAUUUUCAUUUUUUAAAAAUAAAUUAGUAUGUACUAAAAUAUUUAGAGGGGUCUAAUUUUUUUUUUUUAAUCUUGUACACCAAAAAAAAAAAAAAAUAAUUUUUUUUCAGAAUCCAGGGGGGGCUAUAGACCACCCUCGUCCCGUGCUAACUCCGCCACUGCUAGCCAGCAGCCAGCAGAUUUGACUUUAUUAAAUAAGUAGCUGCAUAUCUGAAUUUCAAACAUAUUAUAUAUAUCCCGUCACAAAAUGACUGAAUCUCUAAUUAAUACUCGUCAAUGCUAAUUUGCUGUUGGCCACAAUUAAUUAAGUUAACGCAAAUUUAAUGAAUUACUUAAUUUCACCGGCUCAACACUGUUACAUAUAUAUUGCAGUCGCGAAUCACCGUCAUUGUUUAUUAUGUGAUAGNNNNNNNNNNNNNNNNNNNNNNNNNNNNNNNNNNNNNNNNNNNNNNNNNNNNNNNNNNNNNNNNNNNNNNNNNNNNNNNNNNNNNNNNNNNNNNNNNNNNNNNNNNNNNNNNNNNNNNNNNNNNNNNNNNNNNNNNNNNNNNNNNNNNNNNNNNNNNNNNNNNNNNNNNNNNNNNNNNNNNNNNNNNNNNNNNNNNNNNNNNNNNNNNNNNNNNNNNNNNNNNNNNNNNNNNNNNNNNNNNNNNNNNNNNNNNNNNNNNNNNNNNNNNNNNNNNNNNNNNNNNNNNNNNNNNNNNNNNNNNNNNNNNNNNNNNNNNNNNNNNNNNNNNNNNNNNNNNNNNNNNNNNNNNNNNNNNNNNNNNNNNNNNNNNNNNNNNNNNNNNNNNNNNNNNNNNNNNNNNNNNNNNNNNNNNNNNNNNNNNNNNNNNNNNNNNNNNNNNNNNNNNNNNNNNNNNNNNNNNNNNNNNNNNNNNNNNNNNNNNNNNNNNAAAAAAAAAAAAAUAAUUUUUUUUCAGAAUCCAGGGGGGGCUAUAGACCACCCUCGUCCCGUGCUAACUCCGCCACUGCCUGCAAGGGCAUGUAUCUGACAGGAUUAAGAACAUUAAUUUCCUCCAUGCGACUUCGAUGUGUUAUGUCUAUAUUGAUUAGAAUAGCGCAAUGCAGUAACGUAUGGCUUCCAAGAAAUCAAGAUUGCUACUAUUAAGAAUGUCAAGAAGGUGAUGCUGCUAGGACAAAUCAACGGAUACAUACAAAUAAUUCCAGGCUCUAAUAAAAUGUCAGACAGCUGCAGAGGGAAACAAACCUACAGGGAUGUCAAUUUUUGAUUCAAAUGAAUUUGAGGUGAUACCAUCUGGCCAGUAUCAGUUUAAGCCUUCAUAAAUAAUACUAUUAUUCUGUAAUUAGAUGAUCACAUUGUACAGUACAUCCAAGUAACGAAAGUGCAGCUUCAAGUCUAGUGCAAGCAAUGGUGGACUGGCCAGUUCCUGGAAAACUCAAAACAAUUUUAUUUUUAAUUAAACAACUUUAUUUUUAAUUAUUAUAUCUGGUAACUGAUUCCUUUCCCAGAUUCCGAAAAUAAAAAUAAAGAAGGGAUCCUUGAUGAGAUUUUCAAUAUUUAUUGGAUCUUUUCUGCACUCGUAUUAAGGUCUGCAUAUAUCUCAUCCCCGAAGCUUGACUAGCCGACUUGGACAUACGACACAUAGUAGGUAUAUUUCGUUUGAAAUCUAAAUGAAACAUCAUCCCCGUAGUUAUGAGUGCCACUGCCCAUAUCGUCCUGAACACAGUUAUGGAGAUAAAAUAGACGAGUCACAGCAACAAGCAAGAUAAAAAAUUUGAGCUUAUUACAAUCGACGUCGUAACCAAGAUUUACAGCUUAUGAGCACAGCUACCAGCAACGGCUUGUUGUUAAGAUAUUGGUAGGAGCCCAGAAUCUGUAACCAAUGAAACAUCAACCUUGCAGCUGCAUGACAGCUGUUGCGAGGCACUCGGGCCAAGAAAUAAAUUUGCAGCAGGUGCCACUAAUUUUUUCGUGGCCAACAAUGAGGAGCGAUGUUAAGUAGCAUGUCAAAUUCUUGUGAUGAAUGCAGAGUGCCAGAGUUUAGGACACCUCAAAUUACACUGUUGUUUAUUGUAUUCAAUUCAUUUUAGUCUUUCAGUGUUGUAAAAAGCUUGUCCAAAGAAAAACUUAACUUUUUAAUUAUUUUGUGGUUAAUAUAUUUUUUAAUUUUUACCGGACCUCGGGGCCAUCGAUCUCCUGCACAACAGUAUGAUGGUAUUACUCCCUUCCGUACUUUUCAGUUGUCACAUUUGAUUUAAUAUUAAAAUGCUGUUUGUGUGAGCUUAAUAUAAGUGUUUUUUGCUUAAAAUAAAAAAUUGGAGUAGAAGUUAGAAACAAGUGAAGACUUAUAAGUGAUUAAAGUGUUUGAGAAAGAAGCAGAAGCCUUGAAACAAAAGCUAACAUUCCUAGUUUCUUAUAGGUUUUUCUUGAUUUUUUAUACAAACGGUACGAAUAAAAGCUUGUAACUUAUAAAUCAAAAGCCUGCUUUUAAGCCGGAAACAAACACCCCCUACACCUGAGCAGUACCUCUCCGUCAUAUUCGAAUAACAUGAAAAUCAGGUAACAUAAAACUUUCCUCAUCGAAUAUAUAUGAGGUCGAUAAAUUUGUUAUGCCUGAAAAUAUGUGCAUAACAACCCGAAAGAACCGAAAGAAAAAGGGACAGAGGAAGUAAUUAAUGUAUCAUCUUUUUGCAGGAAUAAUUAAUAAUGCAGCAUCACCUUCUGCAAGAAUAUUACCACUCAAGUAACGCCCAGCUCAACUAGUAUAUAAACAAACAUUUUAUAUUUGAAUCAUAAAACAAAACGUAAAGCACACAAUUUUAAGUACAAAGUCUAUUUCUUUAAGAUUGAUUUUGAUAGUAAUACAAUACUACAAGUUUCUGGAGAUUUGAUUACAAUACUCUAUUGCUCUUAAAUCUCCUUCCUUUCUGGAGUCUUUGAGAAUCCAAGGACUUGAGAUAUACAUUUAUUUAAACCCCAACUCAAGAUUUUCUUGCAAUUGAAAAUUUAAGGUAUGCGCUGUUUAGCAUUGCUGUUUUUUGUUUUUUAAGUUUCUAUUAUCUGGGUUUUGCAUUUGUAUUGCUUUAGGUUCAGAAAGUUCAUGUCUUUUCUUAUGUUUUUGUAUCUUUUGGGAAAUUGAUUCUGACCCUAUUGCAUCUUAGAGGGGUUUUUACUUGUAUAUGGUAAUUGGGUUUUGGUUAUAUUGGUGGUCACACUGUUGUAUCUGGAUGCUAUUGUAGUGUUAAUUGAGUUGUCUUUAGAGGGUUUGAAGGAGAUUCUGUUUGAAUUGCGAACAUGCCUUCUACGGAUAGCCCGGGUUUGUCAAUGCCAUUCGCUACAUUUCGUCGAUCAGUGUUUGGUUUAGGGAAUGAUAGAAUUCAUUCCUUGGAAUCAAAUCGUAGUCCACCUGUCCAAAACACUGAGUUUGAAUCAUUUCAGAAUAAAGUCUUUAAGAGAUUUCAUGAUCUCUCGAUUGCUAAGGCUGAUGAGUUUCUUUCACUUACAUGGAUAAGUAAGUUACUUGAUGCCUUGAUUGAUUGCCAAGAGGAAUUUAGGGUCCUAUUAUGUAAGUAUAAGGUUGAUAUGGCGAAACCACCUUUAGACAAGAUGAUUUCUGAUUACUUUGAGAGGAGCAUCAAGGCGCUUGACAUAUGUAAUGCAACUAGAGAUGGGGUUGAUAUGAUUAGGCUUUGGAACAAGCAUUUGGAUAUGGUUCUAAGUGCUUUUGGUUCUCAACAAAG